CGCAUUUUAUUUGGCACAUUUGUCAAGCCUCAUUUAAAUUGGAGAUUCUAUGCGUCACAUGCAGGUCAGCCACUAGGAAGGCCACUAGGUGGCGCUGUUUGUAGGCCAAUUUCGUUACGCUAAUAACUCCCGCAUAGUUUGUCUCACAUUCAAAAACCUUAUAUCCACGCGUUCGGUGAAUGGAGCUGAACCUCCCCAUAUAGGCCACGCCCACUUCCGCCUAGAUUUUUUUUUUUCUAGAGCGCAAAAUGUCCAUAAAUGACUUUUUCGUGUUCCUCCUACACACUUUGUCCGAUGCGCACGAAACUUUUGCACGUUUCAUCUGUGGACCGUCCUGACAACAAAAGUAAUUUGAAGAAUUUUGAUAUUAUAAAACAUAAGGAAGUUAUAAAAUUAGCACUUCCUGUUGAUUUUUCGUCAAAAAAGGAAGUGGGGUAUUUCUCCACAUUGGUAUGUCCGAUUUACACCAACCUUGGGUCCAUAGUUCCCCAUGUCUUCCUUAAGCAUCGUGCACAAUUUCAGGUCAUCACCACAAGGUGGCGCUCUUUAAAAUGAAGGAGUUUAUAGCUCUACAACGGUAUGUGUGAUUAAGAUGAAACUUGGUACGCUGCUUCCCCAUGGCUCCCUGAGGCUCACCUAAAAAGGACAAAAAAAAUACGCCACUAGGUGGUGCUCUUUUGGCAUGAUAAAUCACUCGUAAUAGUUAUGAAUAUGAAAUUCACAGGGUACGUGUAGAGUGGUGCCUGAAGCUCACAUACCAAAAAUCCUGUUUGUCCUGCUUGUAGCGCCCCCUACAGGAUAAAAAAACAUCAGCCCCGGCGCCACGUUUCACCGACAUGUACGAAACUCAAUAGGCAUGUAUAAUGUGCCGGGGCGUACAAAAAAGCCUCUUGGACCCAUACCUCAAAUCCCACAGGAAGUCGGCUAUUUUCAUUUAAAAUUUGCACUUUUGGCGGCCAUUUUGUGGUCAUUUUGACUCUUUGGGCUUGUUUUAGAACUAACUGCUCCUAGGGAAUUUAUCAGAUCUGCUUCAAAAUUGGUCAGUACAGUCAAAACAUGGUGCUGAAUGAACGCAUUAUAUUUUGUGACUGUACGUUGAAGGGCGUGUCCGUGGCGUGCCCUCAAAGUUGGCCAUUUAGAACAAAUGUCACUGUGAUGUCAUUUUUGCAUUUCAGGGCUUCUAUUUGAAUGAUCCCCUCCUACAGCUUCUAUCGGAUCUUCUUCAAAAUUGGGCAGUCCAGUCACAACAUGGGGCUGAAUGAACGCAAAUUAUUUGGUGACUGUACGUUGAAGGGCGUGUCCGUGGCGUGCCCUCAAAGUUGGCCAUUUAGAACAAAUGUCACACUGUGAUGUCAUUUUGGCCUUUCAGGGCUUCUAUUUGAAUGAUUUCCUCUGACACGUUCUAACGGAUCUUCUUCAAAAUUGGGCAGUACAGUCACAACGUGGUGCUGAAUGAAAGCAUUAUAUUUUGUGACUGUACGUUGAAGGGCGUGUCCGUGGCGUGCCCUCAAAGUUGGCCAUUUAGAACAAAUGUCACACUGUGAUGUCAUUUUGGCCUUUCAGGGCUUCUAUUUGAAUGAUCUCCUCUGACACGUUCUAACGGAUCUUCUUCAAAAUUGGGCAGUACAGUCACAACAUGGUGCUGAAUGAACGCAUUUCAUUUUGUGACUGUACGUUGAAGGGCGUGUCCGUGGCCUGCCGUCAAAGUUGGCCAUUUUGAAGCCCGUGGUCCUGUAUUUGAACAAACAAACUCCUUGAGACUUUAUCAGAUCUGCUUCAAAACUUGACAGUACUCUUGAAUAAUCUUGCUGAUUACAAGUUGUGCUAUUUAUGACUGUACGUUGAAGGGCGUGUCCCAGGUGUCUCGUCAAAGUUGCACAUUUUGAAUUCUGUGGUCUUUUUUUUCAAAGUGAUGAAACACAAACACCCCUCCGCUCCCACUAGCCACAUCUACAAACCAUAUUUCCUAGGGAGUAUUGUUCGUGGAGCAUAGUGGGAAACCGCUGGAAGUCACUUAUUAAAUUGCAAGAUAAAUAGGGGACUUAUCAAAUCGUCUUCAAAAUUGGAUAGUCUUAUAAAAACAAUGUGUACAUGAAGAACUGAGCUAUUUGUGACUGUACGUCAAACUGCGUGCCACUGACCCCUUGUCGAAUUCUGAUGAUUUUCCAUUAAGCGGUACUCGUAACUUCAGUGUGCAAUGUCCAAUUUCCAAUAAACUUCAUAUAUUCUGUAACAGUCUCGCCCUGAACGCGUCCUCAUAACAUCAGCCUACGUAUUACAGUCCCGCCCUGAACCUGUCUACGUGACAAGAUUCAGAUAAAGUGAAAGCACAGCAUACUGGCAACAGGAAGGAAGCGCUGCGUGGCGAUACGGAGCUGAUUUGGAGCAGAUUUACGUGACGUAUUCGCGUUGCGGUCCGCGCUUGUUGCGACGGCACGCGGCGUGGCCUCGGCGCACCCCGACCGCACGUGACGCGUUUGCGGCGCGCCCCGACGAGCGCCGGGUGCGAGGUCCCGCCCAACGCUGCUUGCAGCUUUAAUUGUAAUU
Dicentrarchus labrax (European seabass) is the source of this 2547-nucleotide long non-coding RNA. RefSeq lists it as uncharacterized. The transcript is spliced from 3 exons. Lineage: Eukaryota; Metazoa; Chordata; Actinopteri; Moronidae. The record is from RefSeq and is a predicted model, not a curated record.